GGCCUUAGUGGCGCACGGGUGCGUAACGCGUGGGAAUCUGCCCUCAGGUUCGGAAUAACAGCGAGAAAUUGCUGCUAAUACCGGAUGAUAUCGCGAGAUCAAAGAUUUAUCGCCUGAGGAUGAGCCCGCGUAGGAUUAGCUAGUUGGUGUGGUAAAGGCGCACCAAGGCGACGAUCCUUAGCUGGUCUGAGAGGAUGAUCAGCCACACUGGGACUGAGACACGGCCCAGACUCCUACGGGAGGCAGCAGUGGGGAAUAUUGGACAAUGGGCGAAAGCCUGAUCCAGCAAUGCCGCGUGAGUGAUGAAGGCCUUAGGGUUGUAAAGCUCUUUUACCCGGGAUGAUAAUGACAGUACCGGGAGAAUAAGCUCCGGCUAACUCCGUGCCAGCAGCCGCGGUAAUACGGAGGGAGCUAGCGUUAUUCGGAAUUACUGGGCGUAAAGCGCACGUAGGCGGCUUUGUAAGUUAGAGGUG
RNAcentral lists this ribosomal RNA (473 nucleotides) under uncultured Sphingomonas sp. Its description in RNAcentral is "bacterial SSU rRNA". It matches the Rfam family "Bacterial small subunit ribosomal RNA", at positions 88 to 596 of the family's 1533-position model. The record is from RNAcentral. Lineage: Bacteria; Pseudomonadati; Pseudomonadota; Alphaproteobacteria; Sphingomonadales; Sphingomonadaceae.